Molecule: long non-coding RNA, 1125 nt
Filed under: Equus caballus (horse)
Lineage: Eukaryota; Metazoa; Chordata; Mammalia; Perissodactyla; Equidae
Description: lncRNA (ENSECAG00000044878.1)
Source: RNAcentral
CUCAUAUCAAGGCGGAACGGCGCGAGGAGAAUCCAUUUUUGUUAUGGGCAAGUCGGUAGCCUAGAAGACAAUACGCAUGAGUCAGGGAGUUAAGCAGGUUUUUCCCCAAAUUCAGCUACGUUCCUUUGGAGUCCCAGCCUCUGAUCGGAGAGAGAGCUUUUCUGCGACUUUUGCCCACUUCAGGUUACAGUUACCUAUUUAGGAAAAGGGAAAUGAUUCGUCCCAAAGGUCAUUUGAAGAGUUUCUCUUUUUUUUUCAUUCCUCUGCGCCAAGCAGUGUUUGAAGAGCAGGGCAUAUAAGGAUGUAAAGAUAAGUAAGCCGCGGGUCCUGCCUUUCUGGCACUCACACUGUGGCGGGGUAGGCACGCGGGCAAAUACAUAUAAUAGGGUUGUAUAAUAAGCAAAGGUGAAGAAGAUGAAAUGUUCAUCUUGGUGGGGCUUUAGACGCAGGGAUUUCAAAGAAACGGAAGCUGAACAGGCUGGAUGAGGGCUGGAGAAGUGGUGAUCCAGACCCCCCGGUACAUAGUUGUGUAUUCUUCGUUGUGGGUUCCUCUAGUUGUGGCAUGUGGGACGCUGCCUCAGCGUGGUCUGACGAGCAGUGCCAUGUCCGCGCCCAGGAUUCGAACCGACGAAACACUGGGCCGCCUGCAGCGGAGCGCGCGAACUUAACCACUCGGCCACGGGGCCAGCCCCUAAAAUUAACCAUUUUAAAGUACACAAGUGAGUGGCAUUUAGUGCAUUCACAGUGUUGUGCAACAAUCACCUGUCUCCAGUUUCAAAACCGUUCCUCACCACAGAAGAAUACCCUAUGUGCAAUAAGCAAUCACUCCCCCUUCCUCCCUGUCCCCCAUUCUCUGGUAACUGUCAAUCUGCUUGGUGUCUCUGUGGAUUUACCUACUUCAUGUAUUUCAUAGUCAUACAGUAUGGGAUCUUUUGUGGCUGUUUUCUUUCACUUAGCAUAGCGUUUUCGAGGCUCGUCCCAGUUGUAGCAUGUAUCAGUACUUCAUUGCUUUAUAUGGCUGAAUAAUAAUCCAUUGGAUGUAUAUACCACAAUUUAUUUAUCCGUUCAUGCGUUGAUGAACAUUUGGGUUGUUUCCAUCUCUUGGCUAUUGCAAAUAGUGCUGCU